Molecule: long non-coding RNA, 4049 nt
Filed under: Cinara cedri
Lineage: Eukaryota; Metazoa; Arthropoda; Insecta; Hemiptera; Aphididae
Source: RNAcentral
GUCACUACAGAUAUAUUUAUUAAUUGGAAGAUUUCUUUAUUUCAUACAGUUGUUCAAAUACUUCAGGGAUAUUAAAUGUAUCUGUAAAAGAUAAAAUAUAAUAAUAUUGUAUGAUAAAAUACAUUUCUGCGGACCGUUUUUACAACACCGAUUGAACAUUAUAUAAAACAAUAUGUCGUGACAUUGUUCACAUAAUUUUUAAAAUAAUGUCCAAACGAUACGAUUAAAUUCAACGAUUUUCGUGAUGAUUGGUAUUUUAUUACAGAUACGUUUUCGAAAUUAAACAAUUCUCCGAGAAAAAAUAUAGGACAAUUUUGAAUUUUUAUUUUUAAUAAUGAAAUAAAGUAGAAGAUAUAAUUUAAUUUUCACGAAUAGUGUUUUUAUAAACAACAAACAUUAAGACUCGGUUAAUACUAUAAGAUGGAGACUUUUUUAACGACCCAUUGAUAUUUUACAAUUGUUUAAUACUAAAUAUAUUACGAAAUUUUUAAUUUAUACAAUAUAUAUAUAAAUAUCUUUAUAUUUUAUUUUUUAUUCACUACUUAUAUCUAUUUUUUUAUAAAAAAAAAACAUAAAUAUUAGGUAAAAAUAAUGUAAUUACCAAAUACAUGUGUAAAGAACAAUUUUUAAAUAUUCUUAAAUACGAUAACAUUAUUAUAGGUUUAAUAUUCUAUAGUAAAAAAAAAAAUAAAUAUAUAUUUAUUGUUUACAAGUUUUAUGACAUAUUUAAUUGCACGUAAUUUUUUGACACACGAAUAAUGCCCGUGAUCAAAAUUUAAAAAAAAAACCUAUCUGAAUAUAUAAUUAUUCAUUAUACGAUAUUGCGGAAGUUUAGUUUUUUUUUUUAUAUAAACGUUGACAUUAUAAUAUUAAAGCGUGAUAGUAAAAUUCUAAGGUAUCGGAUUAAUGCUAUCUGAAUUUAUUAUACUUUAUAAAGAAGAUGAAUUGAAAUUUCAAUCUGCGUGUUAUAUUAUAAUGUAUAUUAGCGAUUUUGAUUUUUGAAGCGAAUUUUCCGGUACGUUACACAAUUAUAAUUAUUUGUUGAUAUUUGAAUUCAUUUUUCAUUUCUAAGCAUUUAUCUAACAUAAUUUUUACAACAUUUAUUUCGUAAUAUUCGGUUAGGCUUAUGGCAUCAAACGUAAAAUCAUUAAUUGGACCUUCCCCAAUACAGUAGUUAUCCAGAUAAUUUGAAGCGAUUAUAUAAUCACUCAGAAUUAGAAAUACGACGGUAUCCAACAAUAUUGUCGUAUGGAUAAAGUGAAUGUCAUAUCUUACAAUAUGCUCUACCUAAGGAGUUUAGGAGUAUAUCAGUGUUAUACAUAUAUUCACAGGUUGUAGAAUGCAUACUUAAAUGCAUUCUACAUUGCUUUCAAGUAUUUAAUACUUGAAAGCAAACAAUUUGUAAACUUCCUGGCACACAAAUAAAAUAUCUCCAAAAUAACCCGCAGUUAUUUGUCACAAACUCACAACUAUCAAUUUUGUCAUAGUUACCAAUCUUCAAAUCAACAUUUAAGAAGUGUCAUCAUUAAAUUAAAAUUUUACCGUAAAUAAAUUUACUUUGGUUUUCUAUUUAUAUACAUUUCUAUUUUUUCAUUUCAUAAUUAUAUUCAUAUAUGAAUAGCUCUAUGUAACUUGCAUGAGCUUUUAAAUCGAAUACAAUUGCCUAUGAUAAUUAAGGAUUAAGUAUUAAAAUUUAAAAAAAUAUAUUAAACGGGUAUAAUAUUUAACAAUACCUAAUAAAUAUAAUUCGGUAACUUUUGGGUAAAACACUCCAUAUUUUUUCCAAAUAAUACCCCCCCCCACAAAAAAAAAAAAUAAAAAAAACCCCCAUAGCUAUAUGAGCUCUUAUUGAAUUUUAAAUAAACAGAUUGAAAAUCCAUAUGUGUAGGUACUACCUUACUGACAGCAAUUAAAUAGUAGUGUAAUAGGUUGUUGAUUAAUUAGGUAUUUCCCUCUAAUUAUACGUAACAAAAAUAAAAUAAAUUUACUGUUUUUAUUUAUUGCAACACAUUUAACAAAACAUAUUUUAUUUUUUAAUAAUUUAGCAACACCACGUGUAGAUUCAAACUGCAGAAUAUUAUCUUUUAGGAUCUUUUCAAGUAAAUCAUUUAAUAUUCUUACAACAUUUAGAGAAUAUUAUUAUUUAACAAUAAGGUUUCAACUAUACUUGAAUCGGUUUACAAAAUGUUACCGAAAUAUUUAAAAAUGUUGUGUUAUUAUUUUUGGGCAGUUUUUUAAUAUUUGCAAGAUAAUUAUAUAAAAUAUAAAAUAGAUGAAACAAUUUAAAAAAUAUGCCUAAAAUUGUUAGCCUUCCAGCUCUAUAUCCUACGAUAUAACGACUGUGCUACCUAUCAGGUAUGAAAUGGUUAAUUGAAAAUUAUAUGAAUUCUAUUUACAAUUAAUAUGUUUCGAAAUUACGUACUGAAAUUUAUUAUAAUGUAUCAAAGUGUCGAUGCAAAUUUUAUUUUAAACGAUAUAUUUUAUACUUACAAAAUAUUCACACAAAGUUAAAUUUAAAUUAUUUUAUUAGUAAAUUAACUAAACCAUGUCAAACAUAUUAUUUUAUAUAUUAUAUUGUUUUAAAUAUAAUACAAUUAUUUAAAUAUUCAUAAAAUGUAAUAAUUCUGAAAUAUUUCAAUUUAACCAUUUUGUAUAAUAUUCCUAAAAUAAGUAUCAAUUUUGCGAUUUAACUUUCUAGGACAUUUCAGCAUGGCAUCAAAUAUUUCGGCUUAAAGUCAUAGUAGCGAGAACACUAUUUCAGUGUGAAAUAUCAUUUUUUUUUAAAUUUGUUACCAUUUUUCCUAAUAUUACAAUUUGCUAUUAUUGUAAUUUAGUAAAAUACUAUAACAAAAACCAUGAAAAUAAGAUACUUAUGUAAAGGAAUACAUUAUAUCGUUAUCAUAUUUGAAAAAAAUGAUUAUUAUCAUUUUAACAAAAACAAUUAUGAAAUAAUAUUAUGGGCAUUGGAUAAAAAAAGAAGUAUACUUAAUCUUCAUUAAAUAAUGAUGAUUGUUCGUUCGUUCGUUCGUGAUCUAUAGGUAUAAAAUCAACAACUACUUAUUGUCACCAACAUUUGCAAACAUUUAACUAGACACUUGAGACUCGAGAAAGCUAUGUAUCUUUGAUUUUUAAAGUUGCUAUAGAGUGGCUCACACAUGAAUUUCGUUUCAACUCAAAAGAAUCUAAUAUUUGUUUUAUUUAUGUAUAGCGUUGCCAUUGAUUACAAAUAAUAAAAUAUUUAUGAUCAGUAUAUAAAAUCUUCUAAAUAAAGUGUAAAAUUGAGCUAUUGGUAAAGGCAAAUCUCGUAAACCAUCGGACCGUUUAAUACUGAGCUCAAGCAAAUUUGAGAGGAACAGCUAUUCAUAUUGUUUAAAACUAAUACAAAAUGUAUUAAAUUAAAAAGUUAUACCACUAUACUUAAAUAAAUUGUGAUCUAUACAAUUUAAAAAGUUGUUAUAAUAUGAUUAUAGUAUUCAUUGACGGGCAGUACUCGAAUGGGACAAACAAAACAAUAGUGAGUACUGAGCUCCUUAAACAAAAUUAGUUACUUCAUGAAUGAACUCAACCUAACUCAUUUACUGUAAUUUAGUAGGAGUUCUUAAAUAUUUUUAAAAUAAUUGUCGAGUAACUAUUUAUUCUCGCAAACUUCUUUCCGACAAUCCGAUUACUACUGAUUAAAUUAAAAAUAAUAUAACGGUAAAUGAUAUUAAUAUUUAAGAUAUUAAAAAUUAUAUUUCAUGUCAAAAUAGGCUUCUUGCCGAAAUGUCUUAACGCCAAAUAAUUGGAUUCGGUAUUCACUUUUUAUUCCCCUAUAUCCUCAUUUAUUCUCCAUUUGUCUUAAUUUUCAGUACGAGUUUUCUUAUUAAUAUUUUCUUUCAAAACACUUACAUCUUUUACAUGCAACAUUGUCGAGACCUAUUCUCCUCAUCACAAGCGCCACAGUUUCUUAACGUUCGGGAUAGUAAAAACGAAUACGGACAUUAAAAAACUAAGAAUAUACGUCACCAUAACCUAACAUAUUAUUAUCAAAAACUAUUUAUACGUAGCAU